GCCGGAGUGGCGGAAUGGUAGACGCAGCGGACUUAAAAUCCGCUGGAGCUGUAAGCUCCGUGCCGGUUCGAGUCCGGCCUCCGGCA
RNAcentral lists this transfer RNA (86 nucleotides) under Candidatus Latescibacterota bacterium. RNAcentral describes it as "Candidatus Latescibacteria bacterium tRNA-Leu". It matches the Rfam family "tRNA". From Rfam's summary of the family: Transfer RNA (tRNA) molecules are approximately 80 nucleotides in length. RNAcentral also lists the same sequence under 1 other name. Lineage: Bacteria; Pseudomonadati; Candidatus Latescibacterota. The record is from RNAcentral.